GCCGGGAUAGCUCAGUUGGUAGAGCAGGGGACUGAAAAUCCUCGUG
Molecule: transfer RNA, 46 nt
Filed under: Frullania davurica
Lineage: Eukaryota; Viridiplantae; Streptophyta; Jungermanniopsida; Porellales; Frullaniaceae
Also listed under: 19 other names
Description: partial tRNA-Phe
Rfam family: tRNA
About the family: Transfer RNA (tRNA) molecules are approximately 80 nucleotides in length. Their secondary structure includes four short double-helical elements and three loops (D, anti-codon, and T loops).
Source: RNAcentral